RNAcentral lists this ribosomal RNA (503 nucleotides) under uncultured bacterium. RNAcentral's name for it is "partial 16S ribosomal RNA". It matches the Rfam family "Bacterial small subunit ribosomal RNA", at positions 30 to 523 of the family's 1533-position model. The record is from RNAcentral.
AUUGAACGCUGGCGGCAUGCUUUACACAUGCAAGUCGAACGGCAGCAUGGGUGCUUGCACCUGAUGGCGAGUGGCGAACGGGUGAGUAAUGUAUCGGAACAUAUCCGCAAGUGGGGGAUAACGUAGCGAAAGUUACGCUAAUACCGCAUAUUCCCUGAGGGGGAAAGGAGGGGAUCCGCAAGGACCUUUCGCUACGGAGUGGCCGAUAUCAGAUUAGCUAGUUGGUGAGGUAAAGGCUCACCAAGGCGACGAUCUGUAGCGGGUCUGAGAGGAGGAUCCGCCACACUGGGACUGAGGCACGGCCCAGACUCCGACGGGAGGCAGCAGUGGGGAAUUUUGGACAAUGGGCGCAAGCCUGAUCCAGCCAUGCCGCGUGAGUGAAGAAGGCCUUCGGGUUGUAAAGCUCUUUCAGCUGGAAAAAAAUCGCUUCACCUAAUACGUGGAGUGGAUGAUGGUACCAGCAGAAGAAGCACCGGCUAACUACGUGCCAGCCGCCGCUGUAA